Sarcophilus harrisii (Tasmanian devil) is the source of this 737-nucleotide long non-coding RNA. RefSeq lists it as uncharacterized. Lineage: Eukaryota; Metazoa; Chordata; Mammalia; Dasyuromorphia; Dasyuridae. The record is from RefSeq and is a predicted model, not a curated record. The transcript has 4 exons.
GGCCCGUCAGCCCCCACUGCAGGAGCCGUACACGUGUCUCUCGUGGCCUGGCCUGGCCUGGCUACCGGCUGACCCCUCGGUGCCGAUUUUAAUUUACCUCAAAAUCUGCACCUUCCUUUAGAUGCUUUGUGAAAACCAAGUGCCGAUGGGUAAUAAAGACUUGUUUCCAAUAAGCUCCCCCGCCCCCACCCCUUUUGGAGGCUUGGGGAUUUAAGGAAGAUCGAUGGCACAAGAUGUUGUCUCCUUCUCAGACGCUUUAUGCUCUGGUUCCUGCAGCAUUGAAUUUCUAGGAUUCCACACCUCUGUUUAGAAACUGAAGAUGAGAAAAGGGACAAGAUGCAAGAAAGACUGGGCCAGUGACAAGGAAAACAAGCUUCCGCCUCCCUCUGCAGCUGAGGAUCUAUAAAUAAAGUUGUCUCUCCAUGGCAUGUUCCACACGCCACACACGGCUCUUUAAUAAAAUUGGCUGAGAUUUGUUGAUAAGCCUGAAGCUAAGUCAAUGUGCAGUGUCAGUCCCACGGUAAGAGAGCCUUCAGGGGUCAAGCUGUUUCCUGUAUAUGAUCAUCGGAUCAAAGAUAUGUCAGCCGUGUGCUAACCGGCUUUUUAUGAAUUGUGCUAAAGAUCAGACAAGAGACACUAAUAAAGACGUGGAAAAGGGGAGGCUGAAGUUUGGAGCCCACUUCUCUCUGGGGUCCCCUGUGAGCCCUCUGACCACAGUAUGAGAGUAGAGAGGGAGA